This 985-nucleotide long non-coding RNA is filed under the name Numida meleagris (helmeted guineafowl). RNAcentral describes it as "lncRNA (ENSNMEG00000000881.1)". Lineage: Eukaryota; Metazoa; Chordata; Aves; Galliformes; Numididae. The record is from RNAcentral.
GAGUGGGGUCAUGGAAGGGUGGGGUCGUGGAAGAGUGGGGUCAGGGAAGGGAAGGACUGGGAUUGCAGAAUGAUGGAAUCACGGAGAUUAGGAUCGGGGAUUGGGUGGGAUGGCAGAAGGAUGGGAUGAAGGAAUGGGGGAAUCUUGGAAGAAUGGGGAUGGUGGAAGGAGGGGAUGGCGGGAGGAUGGAAAGACGGGAGGAUGGGAGGACAGAGGGACGGGAUGAUGGAAGGGUGGGAUGAUGGGAGGAUGGGAGGACAGAAGGACAGACGGAUGGGAUGAUAGGAGAGGAUGAUGAUGGAAAGACAGGAGGAUGGGAGGAUGGGAUGAAGGACAGGAGGACGGGAGGACAGAGGGAUGGGACGAUGGAAGGACAGAAGGACGGGAUGAUGGGGGGAUGGAUUGAUGGGAGGAUGGGAUGAAGGAAGGACAGAAGGACAGAAGGAUGGGAUGAUAGGAGAGGAUGAUGGAAGGACAGGAAGACGGGAUGAUGGGAGGACAGGAUGAUGAACGGACGGGAUGACGGAAGGACAGAAGGAAGGGAUGAAAGGAGGACGGAAAGACAGACUGAUGGGAGGACGGGAUGAUGUGAGGAUGGAAAGAUGGAAAGAAGGACAGAAGGACGGGAUGAUGGGAGGACAGGAUGAUGAAUGGAUGGGAUGACAGGAGGACAGAAAGACAGACUGAUGGAAGGACAGAAUGAUGGAAAGAUGGAAGGACAGAAGGACGGGAUGAUGGGAGGACAGAGGGACGGGGUGAUGGGAGGACAGGAUGAUGAACGGAUGGGAUGACAGGGGAACAGAAAGACAGACUGAUGGGAGGACGGGAUGCUGGAAAGAUGGAAGGACAGAAGGACAGAAGGACAGAAGGAAUGGAUGACAAGAGGACGGAAAGACAGAUUGAUGGGAGAACAGAAGGACGGGAUGAUGGGAAGACAGAAGGACGGGAUGAUGGGAGGACAGAGGGAUGGGAUGAUGGGAAGACA